This 1394-nucleotide ribosomal RNA is filed under the name uncultured bacterium. Its description in RNAcentral is "16S ribosomal RNA". It matches the Rfam family "Bacterial small subunit ribosomal RNA". The record is from RNAcentral.
AGAGUUUGAUCCUGGCUCCGGAUGAACUCUGGCGGCGUGCUUAACACAUGCAAGUCGGACGAAGCACUCUACUUGAUUUCCUUCGGGAAUGAUUGUUUUGUGACUGAGUGGCGGACGGGUGAGUAACGCGUGGGUAACCUGCCUCAUACAGGGGGAUAACAGUUGGAAACGACUGCUAAUACCGCAUAAGCGCACAGCUUCGCAUGAAGUGGUGUGAAAAACUCCGGUGGUAUGAGAUGGACCCGCGUUGGAUUAGCUUGUUGGCGGGGUAACGGCCCACCAAGGCGACGAUCCAUAGCCGACCUGAGAGGGUGACCGGCCACAUUGGGACUGAGACACGGCCCAAACUCCUACGGGAGGCAGCAGUGGGGAAUAUUGCACAAUGGGCGAAAGCCUGAUGCAGCGACGCCGCGUGAACGAAGAAGUAUUUCGGUAUGUAAAGUUCUAUCAGCAGGGAAGAAGAAUGACGGUACCUGACUAAGAAGCACCGGCUAAAUACGUGCCAGCAGCCGCGGUAAUACGUAUGGUGCAAGCGUUAUCCGGAUUUACUGGGUGUAAAGGGAGCGCAGGCGGCGCGGCAAGUCUGAUGUGAAAGCCCGGGGCUCAACCUCGGUACUGCAUUGGAAACUGUCGUGCUAGAGUGUCGGAGGGGUAAGCGGAAUUCCUACUGUAGCGGUGAAAUGCGUAGAUAUUAGGAGGAACACCAGUGGCGAAGGCGGCUUACUGGACGAUGGCGGACGCUGAGGCUCCAAAUCGUGGGGACCAACCAGGAUUAGAUACUCUGGUAGUCGCACGCCGUAAACGAUGAAUAGUAGGUGUUGGGGAACAUGGUUCNUCGGUGCCGCCGCAUACGCAGUAAGUAUUCCACGUGGGGAGUACGUUCGCAAGAAUGAAACUCAAAGGAAUUGACGGGGACCCGCACAAGCGGUGGAGCAUGUGGUUUAAUUCGAAGCAACGCGAAGAACCUUACCAAGUCUUGACAUCCUUCUGACCGUCCUUUAACAGGGACUUCUCUUCGGAGCAGGAGUGACAGGUGGUGCAUGGUUGUCGUCAGCUCGUGUCGUGAGAUGUUGGGUUAAGUCCCGCAACGAGCGCAACCCUUAUCUUUAGUAGCCAGCAUUUCGGAUGGGCACUCUAGAGAGACUGCCAGGGAUAACCUGGAGGAAGGCGGGGAUGACGUCAAAUCAUCAUGCCCCUUAUGACUUGGGCUACACACGUGAUACAAUGGCGUAAACAAAGGGAAGCAGAGCCGUGAGGCCGAGCAAAUCUCAAAAAUAACGUCUCAGUUCGGAUUGUAGUCUGCAAAUCGACUACGGGAAACUGGAAUCGCUAGUAAUCGCAAAUCAGAAUGUUGCGGUGAAUACGUUCCCGGNGUCGAGUACACACCGCCCGUC